This 401-nucleotide ribosomal RNA is filed under the name uncultured Nitrosomonadales bacterium. Its description in RNAcentral is "bacterial SSU rRNA". It matches the Rfam family "Bacterial small subunit ribosomal RNA", at positions 194 to 591 of the family's 1533-position model. The record is from RNAcentral. Lineage: Bacteria; Pseudomonadati; Pseudomonadota; Betaproteobacteria; Nitrosomonadales.
AGGGGAUCGAAAGACCUUGCGCUUUGGGAGCGGCCGAUGUCUGAUUAGCUAGUUGGUGGGGUAAAGGCCUACCAAGGCGACGAUCAGUAGUUGGUCUGAGAGGACGACCAGCCACACUGGGACUGAGACACGGCCCAGACUCCUACGGGAGGCAGCAGUGGGGAAUUUUGGACAAUGGGCGCAAGCCUGAUCCAGCAAUGCCGCGUGAGUGAAGAAGGCCUUCGGGUUGUAAAGCUCUUUCAGUCGAGAAGAAAAAGCUGCAGUGAAUAACUGUAGUUCAUGACGGUAUCGACAGAAGAAGCACCGGCUAACUACGUGCCAGCAGCCGCGGUAAUACGUAGGUUGCGAGCNUUAAUCGGAAUUACUGGGCGUAAAGGGUGCGCAGGCGGCUUGUAAGUCAG